Molecule: non-coding RNA, 2784 nt
Organism: Podarcis lilfordi (Lilford's wall lizard)
Lineage: Eukaryota; Metazoa; Chordata; Lepidosauria; Squamata; Lacertidae
Source: the annotation of a GenBank genome assembly
AAUCUUGUUUUGUGGCACAAUCUAAAAUUGCAUUUUUAUAAAAUGCCUGGCUCUCAUAUAAGAAGAGAAAAUGCCAAUUUUCAUAAUCCAAAAAGUAUAUGGGUGCUUUAUAUCCCCAAAUUAUGUAGCAUUUCCAUGCAACGAGGCCCAAAGUAGCUAACAAUAAGUAAGAUUCCACUAUACAUGAAAAAAUCCUAUUAAAUAUAAAAUACAAUAUAAAACAAGCCAAGUAGGUAUAUUUUAUAGUUAGGGGCAUUUGUGCUGCAGUGGUGAGAGAUGAUUCACCUGCCAAAAUUCUGCCCUACAUAACUAUUAACAUUACAGAACAUGGUAAUGUGGUCCCAUAAGUGUGGACCUGCUCACAUUCUUGCUGUAACCAGGUCUGAAUUCCUCAGGAAUUGGUGCAGCUGAUACACUAGCCUAAGCUGGGCAAAGGUACUCUUCACCACUGCUGUCACCUGGUCAUCUAGAUGUAAGGGUGAAACUAUGGACCUGACUUUUCAAAGCAAGUACAACCCAUCCCAAACACGUUGAAUCCCCAUUCCGGAAUAUGUCUCGUGAGUUUAUCUGUCUUCUCUGGAUUGAGCCUCAGUUUGUUUGCCCUCAUGUAGCCCAUUACCAUUUAACCCAGAGGUGGUGAACCUGGAGGCCUCAGCCCCGAUCAGCAUCCAACAACCUCUGGAGGGCCACAGGUUCCCCACCCUUUACUUUAGUCAUACAACAACAUACAUAUCCUUUUCCUGGGAAUAUAUACUUGCCUUCCAGACAGCUAAGUGGGUUCAGACUGUUCAUUUUCUUGUUAUGGCUGUGCCCCCCUUAAACCAACCAAGAAGCAAGUCCCUUAGCAUUUUUUAAAGCUCUGCCUUAACAACCUGCUCUUUGCCCUUAGCAAAGCCCCAAGUCUGCUAGAAGGUUAACAGCAGUUGAAUUCUGCUGAUUUGAGAACAGAGCCUUGGUGAGCAAAGACAAUGUCACAUUAUGCCAGAAAGGACAUCUCCCACUGAACCCUUUGGGAUUUGGCCUUAGGGAUCUUGAGCAGGGAUCUGAUUUGACUUAAGUGCCAGAGAUCUCCCCUACCCUUCUUCCCUCUUGCAGAGCACCUCUCCUCUGCAUCUCUCACAGACUCUGACACCCCUGGAAUGGGUGAAUCACAGUAUGUGCAGCAUAGACAACACAAAGGUUCUCCAGUCAGAACAUAUUUCAGUGGGGGCGGGGCAUUAUAUGAGGCAUAGCCGUACCUAUUGGCAGGAAGGUAAUACUGGCUUGAUUUUAAAUUAUCAGAACUAAAGGAGAAGCAGCAGUGGAGCAGGCACUUUCCCCCUCAGUUCUAAGAAUCCCCACCCCCACCCCACAUAAAUUUACUCUCCUCUAAAAGGCACUUUGAGGCCAUCCUACGCAGUAUGUUAACUAGACUCCUCUAAAUUGUGCCUUCUCUUAGGUACAUGUGCAAGCUCCUCACAUAGCCUGCAGUGCCUUUGUGACUCAGGAAUGCCAAACCUGGCAAAGUAGAUGCAUUCUAAAGACAGCCGCAUGUAUUAGGAAGCUGCCUGUCAAAGACUAUUUAACCCAGUGUUAUCUGCCCAGGAUGACAGUGGCUGUCCAGGGUCUUUCACAUCACUUGCUUUCUGGUUCCUUUUUAUCUGAAGGUGUCUGGGACUGAACCUGGGACCUGCAUUCAAAGUGUGUGCUGUAUAAUUAGCUGUGGUUCCUCCCCAGCACAUCUACCUGUGUGUGCCCCAUUCAAUUAUAAAAGCAAGGUGCCCCCCCGCCUCAUUCCACAUAGAAAAUGUAGACCCUUACUGUCACUUCCCUCUCUAGAGUCUGUUGCUUCAAACACUGUUCCCCCAAGCUUGGCUCACCUCCUGGGUGAUAAGUGGAUAAUUUUCCCACCAGUUCUUGCUAGUUACCUGCAUAUUAUUUGAGGGGUGUUGAUGCCUUGGGGCAAGUCAUUCUGAUUUCAAGGAUUAGAAGUAUUAUUCCAGAGCUUCCCAAUCCAUAUGAUCCACGUGCAAGAGCAGGAGCUUCACUCCGUGCUGGUCUGUGCCCACUGGCGGAGGAAGAGGGGUGUGGUUUGCCCUGGGUGUCAUCCCUGGGGGGUGGUGACAUCACCGUGGUGCCCCCUAGGAUGCUCACCGUGCCGCCGCCGUGGGAUGCUCGCUGUGGGCAGCGGCACCCCCAUGUUUGCUGCCCCACCCCCAUGGAACGCUCGCCCCACCCCCAUGGGAUGCUCACCCCGCCCACUUGGGGUGCUCGCUCCACCCCGCAUGCCAGAGCAGCUAGCUCUGUCUGUGUCUCACCUCAAGUAGCAGGGGCAAGACUAGUAUGAGCUGUGCAGUCCACAAGGCUCACUUUCCAUGGUAUGUGUGAAGGUGUCCCAGAAGUAAAAGCAUCUGACUUCCCACACUCAGUUGGAAGCAUAGAAAAUGGAUAUUUCAUAGGGGCUUGGGAGGUUAUCAAACCCCUUACUCAGUGUAGGAUUUGUCAUGCAGGAUGCACAGUUUGCCUGACAGAUGACCACCCAGCUUCUGCUUAAAUGUCUCCAGUGAAGGAGAGCUCACCUCAUCCUGAGGUUGCCUGUUCUGCAGGUUUUACCAAAAGGAUGUUUCUCUGCUUCCACCCAAGCCCUGCCCUCUGAAGCAAUGGAGAACAAGUCCAGUCCAUCUUCUGCAUGACAGUCCUUCUGAUAUUUGAAGACAGCUAUCAGGCCUCUCUUUAAUUUUCUGUUCUCCAGCUUGAGUGAGACAAUUUCAUAUUUCCUAGUACAGUUAAGCAGCACUGGAAAGU